This 375-nucleotide ribosomal RNA is filed under the name uncultured bacterium. RNAcentral describes it as "bacterial SSU rRNA". It matches the Rfam family "Bacterial small subunit ribosomal RNA", at positions 523 to 898 of the family's 1533-position model. The record is from RNAcentral.
AUACGAACUGUGCGAACGUUAUUCGGAAUCACUGGGCUUAAAGGGUGCGUAGGCGGUUAUUUAAGUAGGAUGUGAAAUCUCCCGGCUCAACCGGGGAACUGCGUUCUAAACUGGAUAACUUGAGUGAGAUAGAGGUGUGCGGAACUUCCGGUGGAGCGGUGAAAUGUGUUGAUAUCGGAGGGAACACCGUUGGCGAAAGCGGCACACUGGGUCUUAACUGACGCUGAGGCACGAAAGCCAGGGGAGCAAACGGGAUUAGAUACCCCGGUAGUCCUGGCUGUAAACGUUGAAUACUGGUUGGAAGGGGAUUCGUCCCAUUCCGACGUAGCGAAAGCGUUAAGUAUUCCGCCUGGGGAGUAUGGUCGCAAGGCUGAA